AGCUCAGUGUGGAUGGUCAGAGCAUGAUGAAGCUCAUAUUUUAGCGAUGAAAACCACCCAAAUGGUUGUUCGCCAUAGACCGUGAAAACAUGUUGCUCCUUUCGACUAGCCGAACCCUACUUGCCGUGGUCAACUGCCUAAGUUUGGCAAAAUGAUUUAUUUGACCAAAAAAUACAUUGAUUUUAACGGGUGGGGACUACUUGCUCGCCUGCUUGGCUGUGCACCAAUGCUAGAGAAGCUGUGCACCAAUGCUAGAGAAGCUGAUGUUCAGAUCGGGUUUUGACGAUGAAAGCUAUGGUAUGUGGCAAAAUGGUAAUAGUAAAGAAGGAAUUCUUGAGUAUUAGAUAAUGGUUCUUAAUGUGGAACACAUGGGGUAUAUCUCGAGGAUUUAAAUGAGGUAUUAUUGUUUUUCCUAUUCUUUUAUGAUACACUUUUGAAUACA
Non-coding RNA from Erythranthe guttata (spotted monkey flower), 442 nucleotides. The record is from RefSeq and is a predicted model, not a curated record. NCBI's taxonomy places the organism in Eukaryota, Viridiplantae, Streptophyta, Magnoliopsida, Lamiales, Phrymaceae.